GACGAACGCUGGCGGCGUGGAUUAGGCAUGCAAGUCGAACGGUAUCAUCCUUUCGGGGGUGAGAGAGUGGCGAACUGGUGAGUAACACGUAGGUUAUCUACCCUCAAGACGGGGACAACCCAGGGAAACUUGGGCUAAUACCGGAUGUGAGCAACUUUUAGUUGUUUGAAAGGUGGCGUAAGCUGUCGCUUGGGGAUGAGCCUGCGUCCUAUUAGUUAGUUGGUGAGGUAACGGCUCACCUAGGCAAUGAUAGGUAGGCGGCCUUAACGGGUGGUCGCCCACACUGGGAUUGAGAUACGGCCCAGACUCCUACGGGAGGCAGCAGUCGAGAAUAGUCUACAAUGGUCGGAAGACUGAUAGUGCGACGCCGCGUGAACGAUGAAUCCCUUCGGGGUGUAAAGUUCUUUUAUAUGUGAGCAGUGCUUCUUAUAUUAACAGUAUGGGGAGAGAGAUAUUAGCAUAUGAAUAAGCAACGGCCUAAACUCCGUAGCCAGCAGCCGCGGUAAUAC
Molecule: ribosomal RNA, 509 nt
Filed under: uncultured bacterium
Lineage: Bacteria
Description: bacterial SSU rRNA
Rfam family: Bacterial small subunit ribosomal RNA
Source: RNAcentral